This 253-nucleotide ribosomal RNA is filed under the name uncultured bacterium. RNAcentral's name for it is "partial 16S ribosomal RNA". It matches the Rfam family "Bacterial small subunit ribosomal RNA", at positions 524 to 776 of the family's 1533-position model. The record is from RNAcentral.
UACGGAGGGUGCAAGCGUUGCUCGGAAUUAUUGGACGUAAAGGGUAGGUAGGUGGUCUCAUUUGUCUGGGGUGAAAGCCUUGAGCUUAACUCAAGAAGUGCCCCAGAAACGGUGAGACUAGAGUCCUGGAGAGGGUCGUGGAAUUCCCGGUGUAGCGGUGAAAUGCGUAGAGAUCGGGAGGAACACCAGAGGCGAAGGCGGCGACCUGGACAGGUACUGACACUCAACUACGAAAGCGUGGGGAGCAAACAGG